This 230-nucleotide long non-coding RNA is filed under the name Trifolium pratense (red clover). RNAcentral's name for it is "long non-coding RNA (TPRA_LNC004925)". Lineage: Eukaryota; Viridiplantae; Streptophyta; Magnoliopsida; Fabales; Fabaceae. The record is from RNAcentral.
AGACUCAAUCAGCUGAGUUUCUGCCUCAAAUUCUUCUAAUGCUGCUACCUUGGUAUGUAGUAAAUAUAUAACCCUUCCUUUGGUUUAUGCUAUACACAUGCAUUGUUGUAGCUGCUUAAUUGAUUCACCAAAACUCAUAGGGAAAAGGUUCUUGAUUUUAACCAGUAUUAUCAAUUACUAUGAUUAUAAAUUACUAUGAUUAACUAGAUGCACAGUUAUUUUUAGACACU